CCUACGGGGGGCAGCAGUAGGGAAUCUUCCACAAUGGGCGAAAGCCUGAUGGAGCAACGCCGCGUGGGUGAAGAAGGUCUUCGGAUCGUAAAACCCUGUUGUUAGAGAAGAAAGUGCUUGAGAGUAACUGUUCACGUUUCGACGUUAUCUGCCCAGAAAGCCCCGGCUAACUACGUGCCAGCAGCCGCGGUAAUACGGAGGUGGCAAGCGUUAUCCGGAUUUAUUGGGCGUAAAGGGAACGCAGGCGGUCUUUUAAGUCUGAUGUGAAAGCCUUCGGCUUAACCGGAGUAGUGCAUUGGAAACUGGGAGACUUGAGUGCAGAAGAGGAGAGUGGAACUCCAGGUGUAGCGGUGAAAUGCGUAGAGAUAUGGAAGAACACCAGUGGCGAAAGCGGCUCUCUGGACUGUAACUGACGCUGAGGUUCGAAAGCGUGGGUAGCAAACAGGAUUAGAUACCCUUGUAGUC
This 465-nucleotide ribosomal RNA is filed under the name uncultured bacterium. Its description in RNAcentral is "partial 16S ribosomal RNA". It matches the Rfam family "Bacterial small subunit ribosomal RNA", at positions 338 to 795 of the family's 1533-position model. The record is from RNAcentral.